GAUGAACGCUAGCGGCAGGCUUAACACAUGCAAGUCGAGGGGUAACAUAGUUGCUUGCAACUGAUGACGACCGGCGCACGGGUGCGUAACGCGUAUACAAUUUGCCUUUUACAGGGGGAUAGCCCAGAGAAAUUUGGAUUAAUACCCUAUGGUCUAUAGAUAUGGCAUCAUAAUUAUAGUAAAGAUUUAUCGGUAAAAGAUGAGUAUGCGUCCUAUUAGCUAGAUGGAGAGGUAACGGCUCCCCAUGGCUACGAUAGGUAGGGGUCCUGAGAGGGAGAUCCCCCACACUGGUACUGAGACACGGACCAGACUCCUACGGGAGGCAGCAGUGAGGAAUAUUGGACAAUGGAGGCAACUCUGAUCCAGCCAUGCCGCGUGCAGGAAGACUGCCCUAUGGGUUGUAAACUGCUUUUAUAUAGGAAGAAACCCCUGAACGUGUUCGGGGCUGACGGUACUAUAUGAAUAAGCACCGGCUAACUCCG
Molecule: ribosomal RNA, 482 nt
Filed under: uncultured Flavobacteriaceae bacterium
Lineage: Bacteria; Pseudomonadati; Bacteroidota; Flavobacteriia; Flavobacteriales; Flavobacteriaceae
Description: bacterial SSU rRNA
Rfam family: Bacterial small subunit ribosomal RNA
Source: RNAcentral